This 1815-nucleotide long non-coding RNA is filed under the name Canis lupus dingo (dingo). RNAcentral describes it as "lncRNA (ENSCAFG00020000765.1)". Lineage: Eukaryota; Metazoa; Chordata; Mammalia; Carnivora; Canidae. The record is from RNAcentral.
AUGAACAUCUUCUUUAAAAAGAAAACGCCGAACUUCACAGGCAGGCGUCAAAAAGGCCGUGCAGCCUCGGUGUCGUCGCACGCGCAGGCCGGUUCCAGACCAGGUCUCGUCUCCCCUGUGGUUGCCUCCUGCCGCCCCCUUGGGCGGGUGCGCUGGGCACACGGGGCUGACUCGGACCCCCUUCCCCAUGUGCCCCAGGAACUGGCGCCGCUCGCUGAGGACCCGUGCCCAAGGCCACCUGCCAAGAGGCCUGCCGUGACCCCGCCACUGCCCCGCGCUCCUCUCCGUCGGCUUCUCUGCGGGGCUCCGGGGGCCUGUGGGUGCCCGCGCUGGCCCGGGCCUCGCCCCUGGAGGAGGCAGGAGGGCGGCGGAGCCGAGCUCGCGUGCGGGGCGGCUCGGGAGCGCGUGCUCACUGCCCCCCCAGCCCCGUGUCCCUCGGUGGGAGCGGGGCGGGCCCCCUGGGAGGCCCCGUGGGCGCCGGGGGCCUCGGGUCCCUCGGGUCCCGGGCCGCUCCGCCGCAGCCGCCUCGGGGCCGCCGGGGCCAGCGCAGGGGGUGCGGCCCGCCGGCCCGACCCCGCCGCGAAGCGCCGGCGCGAAGGGCUCUCAGCCCCAGGGCAGUGGCCGCGCGACCGGCGGCGCUUCCCGGGGGCGCGGGCGGGGGCCACGGUGCCGCCUUGCCGGGGUGUGCCGGGCGGCCCGGGAGGCCCGCGGGGGCGGGGAGCGCCUGCCCACACGCCGGUGCCCCGCGGCCGCAGCUACCCCGGCGGCGGGACCCGGACCCUGGGCGCCAGCGCGCGGCCGCCGUCCGCAGAGACGAGGACCAGAGCGCUUCUCCCGGCCUUGCGGAAGGCCUCGCUUCCAGCCCCAAGGGCCCUGGCGUCCAGCGGCCGCGGGCGCACACGGAGCCAUUGGGAAAGGACGGGACUCGGACGGCGCGGCCAAGCAGGGCCCCGCGGUCCGCCCCUGACCCGCCUGGUCCGGCUGCUCCGUGGGUCUCCCCGGGACUCGGCCAACACCCGGCCCGGACGCCCUGCGGCGCGGCUCUCCGCGGCCCCCGGGGCGGUGUGUGCCCACGCGUGCCCUUCGGGGCCCGGGCCGCGCUCACAGCCUCGGUGCCCACCUCCCACCUCCCACCUCCCACCUCCCGCCUCCCACCUCGCCGGACCCAGCGGGGGAGGGAAGGUCAGUGCGCGGAGUCUGAUCUGGACGACCGGGGCUGCCGGGGGCGCGGGGACCCCUGGCCGGGGCGGCCCUACUCGAGCUGCGGCCAUCCCGAGCCACGGCACCUGCCAGCGUCACCCACGCCGCGCACCCGCCUUGAAAGAGCCACCGGCUCCGCCGCGGCUCCUCCGGUCUUUCCGGCAAAGGUGUCCCCGCCCCGCGGCGGGGAGGCGCGCACCGGCCACUCCAGGGCACAGGGGCUGCGGCACCGGCCGAGGGCGAGACCGGCUUCCCUCACAGGCCGCUGUCCCCGGAAGUCACCUGCGCCCACCUCCUCACCGACGGGCCUCUGCACCGUGGCCCGAGGCCCUGCGGAAGAACGCGGGAGCCGGGAAGGUUCCCGACGCUGCUUUGGCCCCGCGCAACGCCCCCCCCGCCCCCCCCCGGCACCAUCUUCACUGCGCACACUUGGCCGAGAGGAGGAUGAGGGGCACCAGCACCGCGCACGUCCGGAUGCCAGAGCUGCCCUCUCACGGGGAGCCCCCGGCCGCCCGCAAGGCCAGCCCCGCCCGGGAACCCGGGGGCAUGAGGCCGCAGGGCCCCGGACCUGCUCAAGCGGGAGAAAUCACGCAGGCCCGCCCUUCCCCCUCUUAG